This 305-nucleotide ribosomal RNA is filed under the name uncultured bacterium. RNAcentral describes it as "bacterial SSU rRNA". It matches the Rfam family "Bacterial small subunit ribosomal RNA", at positions 338 to 640 of the family's 1533-position model. The record is from RNAcentral.
CCUACGGGGCGCAGCAGUGAGGAAUAUUGGUCAAUGGGCGGGAGCCUGAACCAGCCAAGUCGCGUGAGGGAAGACGGUCCUAUGGAUUGUAAACCUCUUUAGGCGGGGAGCAAUGCCGGGCACGUGUGCCCGGAGGGAGAGUACCCGCAGAAUAAGCAUCGGCUAACUCCGUGCCAGCAGCCGCGGUAAUACGGAGGAUGCGAGCGUUAUCCGGAUUUAUUGGGUUUAAAGGGUGCGUAGGCGGGCUUUUAAGUCAGCGGUAAAAAUUCGGGGCUCAACCCCGUCCGGUCGUUGAAACUGGGGGC